GUCCACUCUGCCUGUCUUUCUCAGGAAGAACUCCCCAGAGACCCUCAGAAUGUGCUGUAUAUGCCCAUCCUGCCUGAGAGAUGUGAGCCUCUCAAGUAGCCAGGCGUGAGCCACCAGCGCCUUACCCUAUGGAAUAUUGCCUGUGACCCUCACCAGCUGGAGCUGCGCGCUCUUUCCUCUUCUCCCCAGCCCCAGGCAUCAUGACAGUCGUUUUCUGGGCAAGGCCCUCACCAACAGUUAGCCACAGUCUGGGAGCCUCAGCAAGCCUUGGCAGACUCCCAUGGUUUGCCACCACCCUCUGCGCCCUGCCUGUCUACUAACAUGGG
RNAcentral lists this long non-coding RNA (326 nucleotides) under Castor canadensis (American beaver). RNAcentral describes it as "lncRNA (ENSCCNG00000000503.1)". Lineage: Eukaryota; Metazoa; Chordata; Mammalia; Rodentia; Castoridae. The record is from RNAcentral.